Molecule: ribosomal RNA, 196 nt
Filed under: uncultured bacterium
Lineage: Bacteria
Description: partial 16S ribosomal RNA
Rfam family: Bacterial small subunit ribosomal RNA
Source: RNAcentral
ACGCUCGACACCUACGGGGGGCAGCAGUCGGGAAUAUUGCGCAAUGGAGGAAACUCUGACGCAGUGACGCCGCGUGCAGGAAGAAGGUUUUCGGAUUGUAAACUGCUUUAGACAGGGAAGAAAGAAAUGACAGUACCUGUAGAAUAAGCUCCGGCUAACUACGUGCCNCNNCGCGGAGUAUNGNGGCGNGUGAGAG